RNAcentral lists this ribosomal RNA (490 nucleotides) under uncultured bacterium. RNAcentral's name for it is "bacterial SSU rRNA". It matches the Rfam family "Bacterial small subunit ribosomal RNA", at positions 29 to 494 of the family's 1533-position model. The record is from RNAcentral.
AACGAACGCUGGCGGCGUGGAUAAGACAUGCAAGUCGGACGGGAUUUUUCCUGGUAGCAAUACCGGGAAAAGUCUAGUGGCGAACGGGUGCGUAACACGUGGGCAAUCUGCCGAGAAGUGGGGGAUAGCUCGCCGAAAGGCGAAUUAAUACCGCAUGUGAUGAGAGGCGACAUCGUCUUGAAAUCAAAGCCGGGGUCAAACCUGGCGCUUUUUGAGGAGCCCGCGGCCUAUCAGCUUGUUGGUGAGGUAACGGCUCACCAAGGCUUUGACGGGUAGCUGGUCUGAGAGGACGACCAGUCACACUGGAACUGAGACACGGUCCAGACACCUACGGGUGGCAGCAGUCGAGAAUUUUUCUCAAUGGGGGAAACCCUGAAGGAGCGACGCCGCGUGGAGGAUGAAGGUCUUCGGGUUGUAAACUCCUGUCAUUUGGGAACAAGGCGGAUGUAUUUACUGUACGUUCGUUGAUAGUACCAGAAGAGGAAGAGAC